This 67-nucleotide transfer RNA is filed under the name Myxococcaceae bacterium. RNAcentral's name for it is "tRNA-Ser". It matches the Rfam family "tRNA". From Rfam's summary of the family: Transfer RNA (tRNA) molecules are approximately 80 nucleotides in length. Their secondary structure includes four short double-helical elements and three loops (D, anti-codon, and T loops). The record is from RNAcentral. Lineage: Bacteria; Pseudomonadati; Myxococcota; Myxococcia; Myxococcales; Myxococcaceae.
GUCCUAGCUCAGUCGGUAGAGCACCAGAUUCGAACUCUGGCUGUCGGGGGUUCGACUCCCCCGGACA